Molecule: unclassified non-coding RNA, 1307 nt
Filed under: Hevea brasiliensis (rubber tree)
Lineage: Eukaryota; Viridiplantae; Streptophyta; Magnoliopsida; Malpighiales; Euphorbiaceae
Source: RNAcentral
GAGUUGAGUUGAGUUGAGUUGUACAGUGAUUACUUUCCGUAAAUUGUUUUCGUAAAGUAAAAUAAUUCUACUUUAUUUUAAACAAAGUAAUCACGGAGAAACUACCAUAUAUAUAUAUAAGAAUGAAAUUAGUUUUUUUUUAAGUAGAAUAAAUUCAGUUAUUAAUAAAUUAUAGUAAGGGUAAUUUGGUCAAAUAUUAAAAAAAUUCCAAUAGUUAUUUGUUAAUGGGAAAGAGCUGCUUGUAUCAUUGGCCUAGCUCUUGGAGAUAAAACAUCUAUUAGUUGGAUUUUAACCGUUAAACCAAACAACCCCUAAUAUGAUGACAAUCAGGACAUGACUCCUCCAACCAUUGAUUAUCAACACUAAGGACUAUGUUCACACAUCUAAAGGGAAUUCUAAGAUAACUUUGUUUUUGGCUAAGUAAACCCUACUUUGUAAAUUAAUACCCUUGGAUGAAUCAGUAAUGGCUCAUCAUGAAGUGACUAAAAACUAGUGUCAUCAUAGAAGGCACCCGUCUAAAGAUGGGUUACAUUGAUUGAGGAAUUGUUUGAGAUGUUUUGAUCAGACCCUUGGAUGAACUAAUUAAGUAGAGUAAGCUAUCCAAGCAGAAGAUACAAAAAGGACAAAGACUGAAAAUAGCCUUUCAUCUAUGGUGCAGCACUUCACUUAACCUAAAGCUACUAGCCCAUUUGUAAUUUUAUAAUACGGGCUUACUAGUCAACAUUAGCCUGAAUAACUGUUUAAAAGAAGCCCAUUGGAUAAUGUUUUAAAAGAAGCCAGAGAAAAGUUAGGGUUUCGAAAGGAAAAGGAGAAAAAUGAGGAAAUUGCUCGACAGUUCUACCAUCUCUAUCUCAUUUCCUCCCCUCCCCACUCCCUCUUCUUCUAUUUUGAUGAAGUAACGGCUUAAUAAAAAAAGGGGCACCCAGCAGUCUUUCUAUAGGGUAAGAAGUGUUGCAUUAUCUAUAUGGCCAAUAAUUGCCUGUAACAGCUGAAAUAUUAUCAAUAAUGCCACUAAUGUAAUGUAACCUUGAAAUACAUAACAAAACGGAACAGCCAAUGAUUAAAUCAGGAGUUACUUGAUAAAAAUAGCAUCUAUCAUAUGUAAUAUAUAAUUUAGGUAGCAGCACAUAGGCCUAUAAUUAUAUAAACAUUAUGUGAUUUCGAGGUCACAAAUAACACGUCAUGUUUCUUGAUGAUUUCACUUUUUUCCUUCAUGUUUAACCUGGCUAGGUGAUGGAAAGGAAAACUAACAACAUCAAAAUUAAGGAAAGACAAGCAAACAAAAGAAGAGAGAAUUUGGAAUCUAG